Molecule: long non-coding RNA, 1332 nt
Filed under: Homo sapiens (human)
Lineage: Eukaryota; Metazoa; Chordata; Mammalia; Primates; Hominidae
Description: HSALNT0334086
Source: RNAcentral
AUUGCUAGGAUGGCUGGGAAUCACGCCCUCUACCUCCCAGGGGCCUCUCCAGUGUGAGAGCCACAUCAGCUUUCCAGUAUCCCCCACUGUGGUGGCCCAGACACCCGCUGGCUGCCCAUGACCUUCAAGCAGUGCUAGGAUCCUCUUUCAACUCUCCUCCCCGCUCCUCCAGCUUCAGGCCCCGCUGCUUGUGGCCAGCCUUAAGGCUGCUGUCUCUGCAGCCACGAGGGGAGGAUCAGGUGUCUAGUGACUGGGGCCUGACUCCUCCCUGGGGCCCAGGAGAAAUCGAACAUUUUCUCUUCCCAUCUUUGACUCGGCAGCCUGAGAGCCUGAGCCCCCACUUCUGAAACCGGAGCAGAGAAAUGCAUGCGGUUGGGAAACCACCUGCAGAACUUGGCUGGAUCCUGGGCAGCCUGAGGUGCAAGAUGCUUGGCUGGGCUGGGCUUGAGGAUGGAAGGGGUGGGCCAAGAAAGAAAGAUAGACAGGGCCUGGAUGAGGGUGCCUCACUCACCUCAGGCAUCAAAUUUUAGGGGUGCCAAAAAACUCAGCAAUUAAGAGACUUAAUACUUGAAUGAGCUAGUUUUAAAAAUCAAAAUUAAUGCAAAACAAGAUCUGUGAUUGUGGCGGGCAGAAUGAUGCCCCCCUCCUGAAGAGGUCUACGUGCUCUAAAAUUCGUGAAUAUGCUAAAUUAUAUGGCAAAGGGGAGAUCGGGUGCAGGCGGAAGAAAGGUUGCUAAUCAGCAGACCUUGAGGUAGGGGGAGGAGCCUGAGUUGUCCAGGUGGAGCCAAUGUAAUCAUAAGGGUCCUUAAAAGCAGAAGAGGGCGGCAGAAGAGUUGGAAUCGGGGAAAGAAAUGUCAUGGCGGAAGUAGAGUCAGAGAAGUAUGGUGUGAGAAAGACUCGCCUGGCUUUGAAGACGUUUGGAGGCCACUGCCAAGGACUGCAAGCAACCUCUGGAAACUAGAAAAGGCGAGAAAGCAGAUGUUCCCCCAGAGCCUCCAGAAGGAAAUGAAGUCCUGCUGACACCUUGUUUUUAGCUCAGUGAGACCGGUGUCAGACUGUGACUUACAGAACUGGGAACUAAUAAACUUGUGUUGUUUUAAGGCACUAGGUUUGUGGUAAUUUACGACAGCAGCAAUAAGAAACUAAUACAAUGAAGAACCGAAUACCAGCCUUUUACAUAAAGACAGGCUCAGGAGAUGAUAGGCCCCCGGCCUGCGGACAACAGCCUUCGUGCUCAUGCCCACUCAGUUCAGCCCUUGAACUGCGGGUGAGAUCAAGGGGGCGGGGACGACAAGCCAGAGUGUUCCCAUUUUACAAACCCACUGUUCUGCC